Myotis daubentonii (Daubenton's bat) is the source of this 3639-nucleotide long non-coding RNA. RefSeq lists it as uncharacterized. The record is from RefSeq and is a predicted model, not a curated record. The transcript is spliced from 2 exons. NCBI's taxonomy places the organism in Eukaryota, Metazoa, Chordata, Mammalia, Chiroptera, Vespertilionidae.
GCUGGUCUUGAGCCAGGGGGACAAUAAGAAAGGGCUAUGUUUUCCUGGUGAUGCGGUCUUCACAUAGAUAGGAAUUGCAGGGAGCUAAAGUAUCAUUGUAUGUAUUUAUGUUUAUUGAACAUUCAAUGUGAUGACUUUCUGUGACAUGUUCUGUUGUGUUUUUUAGUUGUCUUGAUGUUCCUUUCAGCUGAUCCUAUGGCCCUCAGGAAGGUUCAAAGACCACAGAGAGAGCCGCCCAUGGAUGCCCAGGCCACUCAGAAGUUGAAACAAAGUCAUCACCUGAGGACACCUCUCCUGCUCAGCAACACACUCUUAUAACACGUGGCAAUCCCUUCAAGAAACAGAGUCUUAAGAAUGGCAUCUAGAUUUUUUAAAAUUAGAGAGAGAGAGAGAGAGAGAGGCGGGGUUGAGGGAGAGAAACAGAUGGGCAGACACACAGAGAGAGACUUGGUGUCCCACUUAUGGAUGCAUUCAUUGGUUGAUUCUUGUAUGUACCCUGGCUGGGAUCGAACCCACAAUCUUAGCAUAUCAGGACCACACUCUAACAAACUGAGCUACCCAGCCAGAGCUCAUGCCAUCUAGAUUUUUCAUGAGCCAAAAACAUUUUCUUCCUCAUUUGUAUUCCUCGGCUUGAAUUUAAAUUUAAUGUGACAUUUAUUUUUUAAGUCUUCCUAGUAUAAAUUUGCUUAUGAACGCACCAAUUUUUAAAAUAGAAAUUGCACAAAUGUGUUAAUAUUUUAAGGAACAAUAAUGCUCUAGGUAGAUUGAUUUUUAGCCACACACAAAGUGUGACCUUAAGAGUGACCUAAAAUAUGUAAAGUACUCUUGAAAUAACAGCAGUGAGAGGCAAUCCAAAAGGUAAAAUAAUGGGGGGAAGUCAUAAAGCAACAUAGAAAUACCAUGUUAUCCUGCCUGACACCAACCAAGCAACCAUUCUUUUUAUUCAGCAAUCUAGGACCUGUGAGAUACAGUCACUGCUUCUAACCAGUAAAUUCAGUCAGACAGAAGGAUAUAAGCUUUUGAAAAGAAAAAUAACAACUCAGGUCAAUAGAUGGCAAGACCCAAACCCAACCCAAAACAAAUGAUUUAAACAAGGAACUCCGAGGAGGUCAGCAGAAGCAGGAUAAAACUAGUCUGUUCAGGGAAGAAAGCCCCCUAAAGAGAAAAUUAUGAAGUGAGUCUUAAAGGAUGUUAGAGAAUUAGAUAAAUGGAAAGAAAGGAGAAAAAGUGUCUUUUAGAUGCAUUACUGUGAGAGCACACGCACACGCACACGCACACGCACACGCAGCUGUCUCAUCCCAGGUGUUGCCUAGAAUUACAAUUGUAUUUCUUCACCAUUAAAGCAAUAGAGUGACUGGUAAUAGUAUGAGGGCCUGUGGUUAUUCUGUUAACCUAAUCAUAAUAGGUAUUUAUUGAAUUCUCACUAUAUGUUAAGCAUUUAUGUUAGCUCACUUACGCCUCACAGCAAUUCAGCAAAAGAGGUAUUAUUCCCAUUUUAUAGGUUAAGAAAACUGAGGUUUAAUGAGGUUAAGUAACUUGCUAAAUAGCCAAUACAGAGUUCACAUGCAGAAUUGCAAUUGCAAAACUCAUAGCCGAAGGCCGCGACUACCAGCCGUCGCACUGCCAGGAUGUGUAAACCAUGCAACACCUGACUAGCCAGUCAGGGCACUGCCCUCCUUCCCCUUAGAUUGUCAAGUUAAAAAAUGACAGCCAAAACAAUAGUAGCUGUCCAGCGUGAAUGAAUCAAAAUUAUACCUAUAUUUUUGUCAGAUUGGCAAAAAAUGUGAUCUAUUUUUGGUGUGUUGCAGAAUUUUAGUAAUUAGUUUAUGUGUGCCAUGAGAUGAAACAGGUUGAAAUCCCUGAUCUAAGGCCUGAAGUUGCAAUAUUGCAAUCAUUACAUUACUACUUGAUAUUUUUUGUGGUAAACAAAGAGCUAUUUCAUUUGAUUAUCCCUUCAAAUUUUUCAGAUUUCUGGUUAAGUUACACUAGAGUGAUAGAAUGUAUUUUCCUAAUAGAAAAUUGAAAUAAUUGGGGAAGAGAGCGUAUCAAUAUUUUAGGCUUUUUUUUUGUUCUUUUGCCAGACUUUGAUGAGAUUCUUCAAUUUUGUCUGCAUAGAGUCUCAAAUUCUUGAAAUGAAAAAAAUGGGUUAGUAAUGAUUAAAGGUCAGUUAAUGCUACGUCCUUUUCCACAGGUGCGAUAGAGGGGCUCAUGGAGACCAUACAUUUAGUUCCCCCAGGCUAAUCACAGGCUGAGCCACCUGCCCUGCCGAAACCAGUCAUGAACUUGAAUUUGAUUAGUGGAAACAGUUUAUCUCAGAGAUCUGGGAGCCUUGUACCUAGCAGAUUGUUUCAAUUUUUGCACCACCUCUUUGGCUUCCCAGGUUAAUGUGAAAAAUAGCUAGCUGUGAACUAACUAUCGUUUUUAGAUCCAGAAACUGCCAAUGGUCGCUGGCCAGUUUUCUCAAUGGUUAGAGCAUCAGCCCAUGGACCAAAGGGUCACAGUUUUGAUUCCUGGUCCAGGGCACCUUGGUAGCAGGUUCCCCAGUCCCAGUAUGGGUGCAAGCGGGAGGCAACCAAUCAAGGUAUCUCUCUCACGUUGAUGUUUCUCUCUCCCCCUCCUCUUACACUUCCAAUCUCUCUAUAAAUCAAUGGAAAAAAUAUCCUUGGGUGAAGAUUAAAAACCAAUCAUAUAAUGGCCCAAGUUAUUAUGUGCAAUAUAUUCAAUGAUAUUCUUAAGGUACUUGAAAUCGUAGUUCACCUAAACAAAUCCAAUCUUCUAAGUAUUUUCUUAAACAAUUUCGUGCACAGUAUGUAUUAAUAAGUGCUUCUGCAUGAAUAUUUACAUAUGACUUUCAAUAGUCCUUCAGUUUUUAAAAAUGUCAAUGGUUAUUUGCUAUUUUAAUCCUCACUUAUCCAUGUAUCAACUCAAGAAUACUUCAGCCAUAAAAAACCUAGAAUUAAGGAAAUUUCACUCUUCUUUACCAGUCCCUUUGCAUUUAGUUGGCAUUUAGUAAUGAUUAAUAAAAUGGUCAGCUGGCCCAGCCGGUGUUGCUCAGUGGUUGAGCAUCGACCAACAAACCAGGAGGUCAUGGUUCAAUUCCCAGUCAGGGCAUAUGCCUGUGUUGUGGGUUCAAUCUCCAGUGUGGGUCAUGCAGAAGGCAGCUGAUCCAUGAUUCUCUCUCAUCAUUGAUGUUUCUAUCUCUCUCCUUCUCCCUUCCUCUCAUUAAUCAAUAAAAAUACAUUUAGUAAAUAAAUAAAUAAAUAAAUAAAUAAAUAAAUAAAUAAAUAAAAUGGUCAGCCGGAUGACACAGACAUUCAAAACACAGUUGUGUCUUGAAGGAACCCGUGAAGUGGGGUCCACUUCAGCACCAGCAUCUCGCUUGGGACACCCAAUAAGAGAUGCUGCACAUCGUCUCUAAACACCUGGCAUUGUCAGACUUAGAGCUCCUCAUGGCUGAGCUCGGCCUAUUUUCCAAAUGGCUAUUGGCCUUAUUUCACCCAGUGCUCGUUUAAUGGGUUCAUAAAUAAGCAGGAUUUUUCAAAGUAGCCAAGCACAGAAUAUGAUUUUGUUGGCAUUUCAUGAGGCUUUGUUAUAUGUCCCUGGAACCCCCAAUAAAAAGAAUCUUGCAUUCACUGUGAA